AACGAACGCUGGCGGCGCGCUUAACACAUGCAAGUCGAACGCAUGCUUGAUCUUCGGGUUGGGCAUGAGUGGCGGACGGGUGAGUAACGCGUGGGAACCUGCCCUGAGGUUCGGGACAACCGUGGGAAACUGCGGCUAAUACCGGAUAUCUCCUUUGGGAGAAAGACUUGUCGCCUUGGGAGGGGCCCGCGUCGGAUUAGCUUGUUGGUGGGGUAACGGCCUACCAAGGCAUCGAUCCGUAGCUGGUCUGAGAGGAUGAUCAGCCACACUGGGACUGAGACACGGCCCAGACUCCUACGGGAGGCAGCAGUGGGGAAUUGUUCGCAAUGGGCGCAAGCCUGACGACGCAACGCCGCGUGGAGGAUGAAGAUCUUCGGGUCGUAAACUCCUUUCGAUCGAGACGAACGGCCUCCGGGCUAACAUCCCGGGGGAGUGACGGUACCGAGAGAAGAAGCCCCGGCUAACUCCGUG
RNAcentral lists this ribosomal RNA (471 nucleotides) under uncultured bacterium. RNAcentral describes it as "bacterial SSU rRNA". It matches the Rfam family "Bacterial small subunit ribosomal RNA", at positions 28 to 507 of the family's 1533-position model. The record is from RNAcentral.